Molecule: non-coding RNA, 76 nt
Organism: Podarcis lilfordi (Lilford's wall lizard)
Lineage: Eukaryota; Metazoa; Chordata; Lepidosauria; Squamata; Lacertidae
Source: the annotation of a GenBank genome assembly
UUUGGGAUAGCUUAGUCAGUAGAGCAUGAGACUCUUAAUCUCAGAGUUGUGGGUUCAAGCCCCACGCUGGGAAAAA